Molecule: long non-coding RNA, 792 nt
Organism: Micropterus dolomieu (smallmouth bass)
Lineage: Eukaryota; Metazoa; Chordata; Actinopteri; Centrarchiformes; Centrarchidae
Exons: 2
Source: RefSeq, a predicted model, not a curated record
CAAAACAAAAAGGUCUACAGCCAUGCUAGGGGCGAGGGACUUGGGCACAUUGGUGCUUUGAGCUAAAUGCUGAACAUGCAUGGCAAAUUGUCCAUAGUCACAAAACUAACAUGCUUCUUGUUUAGAAGAUGCAAGAUCACCAUGGUAACUAUCUUAGUUUAACAUGUUAGCAUGCUAACAUUUGCUAUGUAAAUCUAAACAUAAAGUACAGCUGAGACUGAUGUAAGUGUCAUUAGUUUUGCAGGUAUUUUGUCAAAACAAAGUAUUGGACAAUGGGAAAUUUUGUUGUGAUAAUAGCAGUGAAUGAAAAAUUAAGGGGUCACCAAAGUUAUUACAGUUCAUCCUGAAUAGGAAUACAUGGAUGUAUGUUGCAAAUUUUACGGCAGUUGAGACAUUUAAUUUAAAGCUACAUGUCAACCUCAUGGCGCUAGGAGAAAAGUCAGGGGAUCACUGAAGCCAGCUGAGCAUACUGAGUUGCCGGUGUAAAAGAUGAUCUCAUUGUACCAUGAUAGCAGGCCACAGGUCUGAGGAGAGAGCAGAGCUGUCAACCUGUCAGGAGCAGUGUUCGGGUGUCUGGCCAAUGCCAGACACUACUAUGAGUUUACCGCUGGAAACACUCUAUAUCAGAGAGCAGACACACAGCAGGCAGAGGAGGACACUCUCUCCUGUCAGUCAACGGGUUCUCCCUCCUUCUGCGCCUACAACUUUAAACAUUAUUACAGUACAGAACUCUGCUGUGAUGACGUUGCCACCGUCAGCUGCACAACGAGGAAUGAAAUGUUCCAAAUCAUU